This 916-nucleotide ribosomal RNA is filed under the name uncultured bacterium. Its description in RNAcentral is "bacterial SSU rRNA". It matches the Rfam family "Bacterial small subunit ribosomal RNA", at positions 8 to 908 of the family's 1533-position model. The record is from RNAcentral.
AGAGUUUGAUCCUGGCUCAGAAUGAACGCUGGCGGCAGGCUUAACACAUGCAAGUCGAACGGUAACAGAAAGAAAGCUUGCUUUCUUUGCUGACGAGUGGCGGACGGGUGAGUAACGCGUGGGAAUCUACCCAAUAGUCGGGGACAACCUAUGGAAACGUAGGCUAAUACCGGAUAUGAUCUGCGGAUUAAAGGUGGCCUCUUCUUGAAAGCUUUCGCUAUUGGAUGAGCCCGCGUGAGAUUAGCUAGUUGGUAAGGUAAUGGCUUACCAAGGCGACGAUCUCUAGCUGGUUUGAGAGGAUGAUCAGCCACACUGGGACUGAGACACGGCCCAGACUCCUACGGGAGGCAGCAGUGGGGAAUAUUGCACAAUGAAGGAAACUUUGAUGCAGCCAUGCCGCGUGUGUGAAGAAGGCCCGAGGGUUGUAAAGCACUUUCAAUUGUGAGGAAGAAUAAGUUAGUAAUAUUGACUUAUUUUGACGUUAACUUUAGAAGAAGCACCGGCUAACUCUGUGCCAGCAGCCGCGGUAAUACAGAGGGUGCAAGCGUUAUUCGGAAUUACUGGGCGUAAAGCGCGCGUAGGCGGACGAUUAAGUCAGUUGUGAAAGCCCUGGGCUCAACCCAGGAACUGCAUCUGAUACUGGUCAUCUAGAAUCUAAGAGAGGGAAGGGGAAUUCCAGGUGUAGCAGUGAAAUGCGUAGAUAUCUGGAGGAACAUCAGUGGCGAAGGCGCCUUCCUGGCUUAAGAUUGACGCUGAGGUGCGAAAGCGUGGGUAGCGAACGGGAUUAGAUACCCCGGUAGUCCACGCCGUAAACGAUGUCAACUCGUUGUUGGUCCUAUUAAAAGGAUUAGUAACAAAGCUAACGCGAUAAGUUGACCGCCUGGGGAGUACGGUCGCAAGAUUAAAACUCAAAGGG